CAAUUUGUCUCGCUCCGGCAGUGACAAUACAGAGAUCGGAGCCAGCAGUCACGGCGUAGUCGACGGAGGCAUGGAUCUUAGUACGGGGGAGGAAGGCGGCGGCGUGCUGGAGGUCAAGCAUUUCGCCUCGGAGCUUGUCGGGCUUGGCGUCGACGAGGACUAGCUCGUCGGUGAGGUCUUGAGUGAGAAUGGUUUGAGCGAUGGCCAUUCCGACGUUGCCGGCGCCGAUGACGGAGAUCUUGGUUUGGCGUUUGGUGGAGGAAGGAGGAGCGGCGUUGGUUAUGGGUUUGAAAAAGACUUGGGUUAGGUCCAAGUCUCCUGGACCAAGUGAUGAACCUGAAGGACUCUGGUGCAUGGUGUUUGUGAUUGUUGGUGACGUGGAAGGUUAGUUAAGGAAAUUGAUUUGUGAGAGUGAUGAAAAGGAAGGGUUUUGGGGUUUGCGGAUUUUAUAGUAAGAGGGAGAAAGUAAUGAUGGAAGAGGGUAAUACUGUGGGUGGAAAAGAAACUAUGGAAAUUAAAGAAUGGUUUGAGUGGGGACCAAGGCGAGGGCUUUUCAAUGGUCAACCUUGUAAUUCUAGAUAAUCAGAGGAAAAAUUGGGUCAUUUGGGUCGCUGUCUGCAUUUUCAAAGAUGCACAAGUUACUGUAGUAUGCAUAUUAUGUGGUCGUCUUCUUAGAUUAAACUUGAUUAGAUUUUUUUUUAUUUGUAACUUAUUUGUUGGGCAAUACAAGCUUGUCAUGAAAUAACAAAAAAAAAAAUCAUAUCAAAUGACACUUCUAUUCCUUUAUUUAUGAUGAGAAUGUAUUUUUAUGUUUAAUACUAAAAGAAAAAACAAUAUUUCUUUAUUUAGUAUUAGAGAUAAGUCUGACUCUAAAAACUUAUAAUUAGUUAUGUAUUGACUCAGUUAAUAAAUUAUUAAAGUCUUGAGUAAACAAAAAAUGAAUAUAGUUUAUAUCUUUUAAAAAAAUGAAUUUGUAGCAUUUCAAAGUUAUUUUUAAGAAGCUAUUACGUUAAGAAAAUAAAAGUAGUUUUAAUAAUUUGUUUUUGAAUUUCAUCCUUUCAAAUUUUAAAAAUUGCAUUAUUACCCCAAAUGAAAAAAACUCUGUUAUUUGAGGGACCAUAUUUUCUGUUCCACAAAGUGUGUUACUUCAUGUGUCAUCAUUGUUACAAAAAAUGAAUAAUUCAAGUGUAUUAGUGAGUGCUAGUUAAGUUUGUUCAUACUUACUACUUUUAGUUAGAAAGUUUUGAAAUUCUGUUUUGGUAGUUAAAAUAUUUUCUAUAAAAAGGAAUGUAUUUCUCUUUGAAUAUUUUAAUAAAAUUGGUGAAUCAUACACUUCAAUUAUCUCUCUUACUUCAUUCAUUUUCUCUAUGAUUCUAACAAUUGGUAUCUAAAGCACAUUUCAAUCCAAGGACCUUAGACCCACGAUUCUAAGCCAUAUCAACUCACCCCUACGAAAUUCAUUCUAUUGUGUGUAGUGUGUAACUCGAAAUUCACUAUGUGUGAAUUAUCUGAGUAAUUGAAGCAGCACCUUGAAGUUAUUGAGAGAGAUGGAAGUUGUGCAAAAGGGUUGAGAAGUUGAAGGUAAGAUUUGGCUUCAAUAUGGUUGGAAAUGGAAGCAAUCUCCCAUCUAUGAGUCUUCACAUUCUGACUGAGAAGAAUUGGUAUCGAUAGAGCAUACAAAUGAAGGUGUUGUUUAGAUUUCAAGAAGUGGGUGAUGCUGUUGAGAAUGGUCUUCUUACCUGGUCUAGAGGCAACAGAAAGUCAGAGAACAAUGUUUCAGGAGGCCAAAAAGAAAGAUAACAAUACACUAUUUCUACUUCAUCAAUAUGUUGAUGACAUACACUUUGAGAAGAUUCAGAAUGCAACUACUUCCAAGGAAGUCUGGGAGAUCUUGAUUCGGAGCCAUUCUAGUGGAGACAAGAUCAAAAAGGUUAAACUCCAAACACUUAGGAGGCAAUAUGAACUAAUUCAAAUGGAAGAAAUGAUAAAGUUGGUGAUUACUUCAUAAAGGUACUCACAAUAACCAACCAGAUUAAAGGUUGUGGAUAAUUGGUGACAGAUCUCAUGAUCAUUGAAAAAAUCAUGAGAUCUUUGCCUCAUAAAUUUGACUACAUUGUAAUUGCCAUAGAAGAGUCAAAACAUGUCUCUAGAAUGAAGGUUAGAGGGCUUCAAAGCUUAUUAGAAGCUCAUGACAUGAGACUCCUUGGAAGAAAUCACAUUAAGAGCUUUGAACAAACCCUAAAGACAAUUCACUUCAGAGAUGAAGAUAAAAAGAAAAACAGAAGAUGGAAAGGAAAGAAGAGAAAAAGUGAUCUUGAUUAGCCAAAAUCUUCAUACGGAAAAGGAGGGCCAAGAAAGAAUUAGAAACAAAUGAAGUAUGACAAAAGGAAUGUGGUGUAUUUCAAAUGCCACAAGAUAGGGCAUUACUCUAAUAAUUGUUCUAGUGAUAAAGGAAAGAAGAACGUUCAUGAGAAAGAAGCUUAUACAGCACAAGAAGAACCUGAAAAAGAACCACUAACUCUUAUGGUCACAAAUUCUAUAGAAAAUAGUUAUGAGUCAUGGUAUCUUGACUCAUGAUACUCAAAUCAUAUAACUAGUCACAAGGAAUGGCUUACAAAUUUUGAUCCAAGCAGAAAAAACAAAGUGAAAUUUGUAGAUGAUAGUACAUUGAAGGUGGAAGGAGCUGGUGAUGUUAUAAUUCUAAGGAAGAAUGGCACAAAUGCCUUAAUCUCUAAUGUGUUGUUCAUUCCUGGAUUGAAGUGAAGUCUAUUAAGCAUUGGCCAAUUCGUGCAAAGGGGACUCACUACAAUAAUGGAAAAUGGUUAGUGUGAGUUGUUUGAUGCUGAAAAAAGAAUCAUCCUAAGAAAUAAGUUGAUCAAGAAUAUGACAUUACAAGUGAACAUUAAAGUUGUUGAAGUUCAAUGCUUUGCUGCCAUGGAAUCUACUGAAGAAAUUUGCUUAUGACACUCUAGGUAUGAUCAUUUGAAUUUCAAAGCUUACACCAACUUGGUUUAUCUAAUAUGGUACUUGGAAUUCCUCUAAAUGUACUGCCUGAGAAGAUGUGUGAAGUCUGUAUGGCUGGCAAGCAAUUCAGAAGACCCUUCAAGUCUUAUUUGAGCAUGAGGGCUAGAGAAAUACUAGGAGUUGUGCACUCAGACAUAUGUGGUCCAUUUGAAGAACCAUCACUAGAUGAAAUAAAUAUUUUAUUACCUUUGUUGGUGAAUUCAGUAUGAUGAUUUGGUUAUAUGUGUUGAAAUUGAAAGUGAAGCGUUUGAGGCUUUCCUAAUAUUCAAGGCUUCAGUUGAGAGGGAAAGUGGAAAAAUGCUCAAAGUUCUUAGAACAGAUGGUGGAGGUGAGUUCGCAUAUAAUGCAUUCAAAUUAUACUGUCAAAAGAAUAAUAUUAGACAUGAAACCAUUGCUCCAUAUACCCCUCAACAUAAUGGACUAGCAUAUAGGAGAAACAGGACAAUCAUGGAUAUGGCUUAGAAGCUUGAUCAAAGAUAAAGGCAUGCCACAAAGAUUCUCGGGUGAAGCAGUAUUAACCUCACUAUAUAUCCUGAUUAGAUGUCCAACAAAGAAGCUUGAAGGGAAAGUUCUAAUUGAAGUUUGGACAGGACAUAAACCUAUUGUAAGUCAUCUCAAGGUGUUUGACUCACUUGCAUUCAAGCAUGUACCUUACCAGAGAAGAUCCAAACUUCAAGGUAAGAGUGAAGCAAUGGUGUUCAUUAGAUAUCAUCCUACUGGUGCCUACAAACUUUAUGAUCAUGUCAAAGAUAGAGGGCAGAUUAGCAGGGAUGUUAUUGUAUUAGAAAAUGAAAUCUAGAACUGGGAAAAGAUGACAACCAUCUUGAGGAGAAUUAUGCAUUAGAUUACUAAUGAAGAUGUUAUCUUAGAAGGUGAAAAUGAAAGGAUCAGUGAAGUCCCCACUACUCAAAGAUCACAAAGGAUGAGAUCAAUGCCUAUCAGGUUCAGUGACUAUGAGGUGCAUCAUGAUAAUCAAAUUAGUGAUGAAGGUGACUUGGUGCACUUAGCACUUAUGGUUAAAGCAUAACCAAUUAAUGAAGACUUCUACAAAAUAAUGUUUGGAAGGAAGUAAUGGUUGAAGAACUCAGAUCCAUUGAGAAGAAUAAAAUAUGGAACUUGGUUGAACUUCCAAAAGCCAAGCACUAUAUAGGAGUGAAAUGGGGUUUUAAGCAAAAACUUAACCCUGGUGGAUCCAUAUCUAAGCAUAAAGCAAGAUUGGUAGCCAAAGGGUUUCUACAAAAGAGAGGUUUAGAUUACUCAAAGUAUCAUAGUUACUUUUAUUGGGUAUUUGAAGGUUUAAGAUUUCAUCCAAAAACCAAUUGACAAUGAAAGGAAUAGUCCAACAUGUAUUUUAAGCCAUGCAUAAGAGAACAAGACAGGUGAUGUGCCACUUAGUUAUACUCACUUCUCCACAUGCACAUGACAAUUUGAAAGAAUUUGGGCACUCGCGUGAUGUUAAGGUUUCAUUUCAAAACAAAUUAUCAAUGAGAAGAUAGUUCAACCAUUCUAUGAGAACGAGAUAGACAAUGCUAGAUUUAUUUCCCAACAUGCACAUGAAAAUAGGAAGUUAAGCUUACGUUAGAACCAAUUGAUAAUGAGAAAAGUAGUCAAUCAAUAUUUACACCAUAAGACCAUUUGAGUUGCUAUAGCGAACAAGUCCCAUAGUGGGUAGAAGGAAGUAUAUAGCUUAAAAAACAUAGUGGAUGAACACAUGGAUCUAAUGUUUCCUCCAAAAAAUAACUAAACAGCUAAAGUACCUGGACAUCCUGAGCAUUAACGUCGAGAUGAUCGGCGAUGAGAAAACGAAAACGCGACGAAUCCAAAUUAGUACCCGACCCGAUAACCCGAUUGGACGGAAAACCAGAGAGCUUCCAUGCCACAUAGGUAAGAAUAUCCACCGGAUUCGAAACGAUUAACAAAGUAGAAUCAGGGGAAUACCUUACCAAAUGAGGUAUGAUAUUCUUAAACAUGCUCACAUUUCUCUGCAGCAGAUUCAACCGUGACUCGUCGGCAAUUUGUCUCGCUCCGGCAGUGACAAUACAGAGAUCGGAGCCAGCAGUCACGGCGUAGUCGACGGAGGCAUGGAUCUUAGUACGGGGGAGGAAGGCGGCGGCGUGCUGGAGGUCAAGCAUUUCGCCUCGGAGCUUGUCGGGCUUGGCGUCGACGAGGACUAGCUCGUCGGUGAGGUCUUGAGUGAGAAUGGUUUGAGCGAUGGCCAUUCCGACGUUGCCGGCGCCGAUGACGGAGAUCUUGGUUUGGCGUUUGGUGGAGGAAGGAGGAGCGGCG
Molecule: long non-coding RNA, 5310 nt
Filed under: Lupinus angustifolius (narrow-leaved blue lupine)
Lineage: Eukaryota; Viridiplantae; Streptophyta; Magnoliopsida; Fabales; Fabaceae
Description: long non-coding RNA (LANG_LNC001044)
Source: RNAcentral